UACGGAGGGUGCAAGCGUUAUCCGGAUUCACUGGGUUUAAAGGGUGCGUAGGCGGGCAGAUAAGUCAGUGGUGAAAUCCCCGAGCUUAACUUGGGAACUGCCAUUGAUACUAUUUGUCUUGAAUGUCGUGGAGGUUAGCGGAAUAUGUCAUGUAGCGGUGAAAUGCUUAGAUAUGACAUAGAACACCUAUUGCGAAGGCAGCUAACUACGCGGAUAUUGACGCUGAGGCACGAAAGCGUGGGGAUCAAACAGG
RNAcentral lists this ribosomal RNA (253 nucleotides) under uncultured bacterium. RNAcentral describes it as "partial 16S ribosomal RNA". It matches the Rfam family "Bacterial small subunit ribosomal RNA", at positions 524 to 776 of the family's 1533-position model. The record is from RNAcentral.